This 865-nucleotide ribosomal RNA is filed under the name Pectobacterium carotovorum subsp. carotovorum. Its description in RNAcentral is "partial 23S ribosomal RNA". It matches the Rfam family "Bacterial large subunit ribosomal RNA", at positions 396 to 1258 of the family's 2925-position model. Lineage: Bacteria; Pseudomonadati; Pseudomonadota; Gammaproteobacteria; Enterobacterales; Pectobacteriaceae. The record is from RNAcentral.
AUUGUGAGUUCGAUGAGUAGGGCGGGACACGUGACAUCCUGUCUGAAUAUGGGGGGACCAUCCUCCAAGGCUAAAUACUCCUGACUGACCGAUAGUGAACCAGUACCGUGAGGGAAAGGCGAAAAGAACCCCGGCGAGGGGAGUGAAAUAGAACCUGAAACCGUGUACGUACAAGCAGUGGGAGCCUUGAUUAAUCAGGGUGACUGCGUACCUUUUGUAUAAUGGGUCAGCGACUUAUAUUCUGUAGCAAGGUUAACCGUAUAGGGGAGCCGUAGGGAAACCGAGUCUUAACUGGGCGUUAAGUUGCAGGGUAUAGACCCGAAACCCGGUGAUCUAGCCAUGGGCAGGUUGAAGGUUGGGUAACACUAACUGGAGGACCGAACCGACUAAUGUUGAAAAAUUAGCGGAUGACUUGUGGCUGGGGGUGAAAGGCCAAUCAAACCGGGAGAUAGCUGGUUCUCCCCGAAAGCUAUUUAGGUAGCGCCUCGUGAAUUCAUCUUCGGGGGUAGAGCACUGUUUCGGCUAGGGGGUCAUCCCGACUUACCAACCCGAUGCAAACUACGAAUACCGAAGAAUGUUAUCACGGGAGACACACGGCGGGUGCUAACGUUCGUCGUGAAGAGGGAAACAACCCAGACCGCCAGCUAAGGUCCCAAAGUCAUGGUUAAGUGGGAAACGAUGUGGGAAGGCACAGACAGCCAGGAUGUUGGCUUAGAAGCAGCCAUCAUUUAAAGAAAGCGUAAUAGCUCACUGGUCGAGUCGGCCUGCGCGGAAGAUGUAACGGGGCUAAACCAUGCACCGAAGCUGCGGCAGCGACACUUAGGUGUUGUUGGGUAGGGGAGCGUUCUGUAAGCCGUCGAAGGUG